CGAAUGCGAUUAUUCUGUCUGAACGUGCAUUGUUUAUUUAAACAAAGUUUUAGAAAGUUGUGACGAUUGAAUUCAUUGAUUUAAAUGUGGGUCAUUAUUAUGUAGGCGAGAAAUCAUCCUUCAGACACGAAUCUCAUUGUCAGAGAUGCGCGUAACGCGUUACGUCUGACUUGUGACGGUCCUGUUCUACUUACGACCGUAAAAAUCAAUUCAGCUCGCGAUUAUUUAAAAGCGUCGAUGUCGACCGGAUGCAAGCUGACCAUCGACGUCGACCAAAGAGGUCAGAAAAGCGGUAGUACGAUAAUCUGCGUGACAGACACACAGCGAGA
Molecule: unclassified non-coding RNA, 329 nt
Filed under: Bombus terrestris (buff-tailed bumblebee)
Lineage: Eukaryota; Metazoa; Arthropoda; Insecta; Hymenoptera; Apidae
Description: misc RNA ENSBTSG00005028448.1
Source: RNAcentral